GAUAGAGACUCAGAGCUGCAUAUCAAUAAGCGGAGGAAAAGAAACUAACUAGGAUUCCCUUAGUAACGGCGAGUGAAGCGGGAAGAGCUCAAAUUUGAAAUCUUCAAGGUUCUACCUUGACGAAUUGUAGUUUAAAGAAGUGUUUUCUGUUGGAGUUUUGGUAAAAGUUCUUUGGAAUAGGACAUCAUAGAGGGUGAGAAUCCCGUAUUUGACCAUUUCUUCCAGCUGUGUGAUACACUUUCAAAGAGUCGGAUUGUUUGGGAAUGCAGUCCAAAAUGGGUGGUAAAUUUCAUCUAAAGCUAAAUAUUGGCGAGAGACCGAUAGCGAACAAGUACCGUGAGGGAAAGAUGAAAAGAACUUUGAAAAGAGAGUUAAACAGUACGUGAAAUUGUCAAAAGGGAAGCGUUUGACACCAGUGUUGUUUUCUCGAAAAUCAAUUAAAAAUGAUUGGAUUUUGUGUCGUAUUGACUUUAUCAGCUUUCUGCACUCUUUUUCUUAUCUUUUUUAAUGCACUUUUCGUUUAACAAGUCAACAUCAAUUUCUUUUGUUGUAAAAGAGUCAUUGGAAGGUGGCUUUCUUUUCGGAGAAAGUGUUUAUAGCCUUUGACUUCCUGCAAUCGGAGAGACUGAGGUCUGCAGCGUAGAUCCUUUUGGGAUUAGAUGCAUUUGUGCUAAGUUAUAGCCUUUUAUAGACAACAUGUUGACUAUGAUUAGUCAUUGUAGCUUACUCGCUUAUGUAUUUUACCUACGCUUAGGAUGUUGAUAGUCACAGCGUGUAC
RNAcentral lists this ribosomal RNA (778 nucleotides) under uncultured Neocallimastigales. Its description in RNAcentral is "partial large subunit ribosomal RNA". It matches the Rfam family "Eukaryotic large subunit ribosomal RNA", at positions 23 to 634 of the family's 3401-position model. Lineage: Eukaryota; Fungi; Neocallimastigomycota; Neocallimastigomycetes; Neocallimastigales. The record is from RNAcentral.